UAAAGUCUUAAGUUAAAUCAAACUAUUAGCCUUCAAAGUUGAAAAUAUUACUUUGUAAUUAGGCUUU
Molecule: transfer RNA, 67 nt
Filed under: Russelliana sp.
Lineage: Eukaryota; Metazoa; Arthropoda; Insecta; Hemiptera; Psyllidae
Description: tRNA-Trp
Source: RNAcentral